RNAcentral lists this transfer RNA (85 nucleotides) under Hyphomicrobiales bacterium. RNAcentral describes it as "tRNA-Leu". It matches the Rfam family "tRNA". Rfam says of the family: Transfer RNA (tRNA) molecules are approximately 80 nucleotides in length. Their secondary structure includes four short double-helical elements and three loops (D, anti-codon, and T loops). The record is from RNAcentral. Lineage: Bacteria; Pseudomonadati; Pseudomonadota; Alphaproteobacteria; Hyphomicrobiales.
GCGGGCGUGGUGGAAUUGGUAGACACGCAAGAUUUAGGUUCUUGUGGCGCAAGUCGUGGGGGUUCAAGUCCCUCCGCCCGCACCA